UCCGGCUUAAUACCGGCAGUCGCACCAGACACGUAUAACUGGGGCUAAGGGUUGCGCUCGUUAGUGGACUUAACCAAACACCUCACGGCACGAGCUGACGACAGCCAUGCAUCACCUGUGACGGCUCCCCGAAGGGUCGUUCCGCUUUCGCUUCACUACUACCGUCAUGUCAAUCCCUGGUAAGGUUCUUCGCGUAGCCUCGAAUUAAACCACACGCUCCGCUGCUUGUGCGGGUCCCCGUCAAUUCCUUUGAGUUUUAACCUUGCGGCCGUAGUCCCCAGGCGGUUGACUUAAUGCGUUUGCUCCGGCACCGGCGGGGUUUAGACCGUCGACACCUAGUCAACAUCGUUUAUAGCUAGGACUA
This 364-nucleotide unclassified non-coding RNA is filed under the name uncultured Anaerolineaceae bacterium. RNAcentral's name for it is "contains 16S-23S intergenic spacer region". The record is from RNAcentral. Lineage: Bacteria; Bacillati; Chloroflexota; Anaerolineae; Anaerolineales; Anaerolineaceae.